UCCCAAACAAUAUUUAUAAAUUCAAGGAGUUUGGCCAACUUAAACCAGAAGAUAUAAUUUAUUCAGAAUUAUUUGGUAAUAUUGUUUUGUAUACAAUAACUUCAUCUUCUAGCAUAUGUUAUCUAAUUUAAUUAUUUACAGUUAUAUAUUUGUUAAAAUAGAUUUGAUUGGCUUUAUUGUAUCUAUGCAAUCACCUUGCACUACAUUAGUUUCUGGGAAACAAAAAAGAUUCAUGGAGAUUGUUAUUCAAGAUCAUGAAUCCGGAACCUGUUGUGUUGAUAAUUCAGAUGUGUCGUGCAAAAAUGUAUAAUGGUGAGGUUUCAAUCACAAAUACAUUUGGUGCCACUAAGCUUGUGAUGGAU
Molecule: long non-coding RNA, 362 nt
Organism: Ipomoea triloba (trilobed morning glory)
Lineage: Eukaryota; Viridiplantae; Streptophyta; Magnoliopsida; Solanales; Convolvulaceae
Exons: 3
Source: RefSeq, a predicted model, not a curated record